CAAAAUAGCUAUCAGUGUAGUGGUGACAUAUGAAUUCCUCAUCAAAGAAAAGUUCAAGAUACAGCCCUCAGUAGCCUACAGAAGAGAAGGCUCCAGGCAGCGCUUACACUACGUUGAGGACUGUUUAACUUCCCAUAGCGUCCUGCAAGUGAGGAGGUUAGAGGUGCACAAGAAGAUGGGAGAGGGCCCACAUCUGACUGAAACUGGGUGAAGGAAUAUUCCAUACCAUAUGACAUCAUGCUGAACAGUAAAACAGUGGGGAAUUGGCCAGGGGGCAGCAGAUGUUUAGCUAGUGGCUGGGUAUCAGUUAGCAGGCAGUGGUGCACUGUGCAUCCCUGGUUUUGUAUGUAUUUAUUGCUAUUAUUAUUACUUUCUUUUCUUUUUCUGUCUUGUUUUAACUUUUUUUUUUUUUUUUACUUUUUUUUUUUUUCCUCCUGAUUUUCUUCCCAAACCCACCACUGUGGGG
Long non-coding RNA from Gallus gallus (chicken), 466 nucleotides. The record is from Ensembl. Lineage: Eukaryota; Metazoa; Chordata; Aves; Galliformes; Phasianidae.